This 753-nucleotide ribosomal RNA is filed under the name Acarospora veronensis. RNAcentral describes it as "partial large subunit ribosomal RNA". It matches the Rfam family "Eukaryotic large subunit ribosomal RNA", at positions 334 to 1413 of the family's 3401-position model. Lineage: Eukaryota; Fungi; Ascomycota; Lecanoromycetes; Acarosporales; Acarosporaceae. The record is from RNAcentral.
CCGAUAGCGCACAAGUAGAGUGAUCGAAAGAUGAAAAGCACUUUGGAAAGAGAGUCAAACAGUACGUGAAAUUGUUGAAAGGGAAGCGCUUGCAACCAGACUUGCCCGCGGGUGAUCAGCCGGUAUUCUUACCGGUGCACUCGCCCGUGGUCAGGCCAGCAUCGGUUCGGGCGGCUGGAUAAAGUCCACUGGAAUGUAGCUCCCUUCGGGGAGUGUUAUAGCCAGAGGUGCCAUGCAGCCCGCCCGGACCGAGGACCGCGCUUCGGCUAGGAUGCUGGCGUAAUGGUUGCAAGCGACCCGUCUUGAAACACGGACCAAGGAGUCUAACAUCUAUGCGAGUGUUUGGGUGUCAAACCCAUGCGCGUAAUGAAAGUGAACGGAGGUGGGAACCCUUAAGGGUGCACCAUCGACCGAUCCUGAUGUCUUCGGAUGGAUUUGAGUAAGAGCAUAGCUGUUGGGACCCGAAAGAUGGUGAACUAUGCCUGAAUAGGGUGAAGCCAGAGGAAACUCUGGUGGAGGCUCGCAGCGGUUCUGACGUGCAAAUCGAUCGUCAAAUUUGGGUAUAGGGGCGAAAGACUAAUCGAACCAUCUGCUAGUAGAUGGCAUACCGGGCCGCGCGCCCCAGUAGUCCCCGCGUGGCGGGGGCAACAUCGCCGGUCUCUCCGGGGAUGCCUGUGGGCUACCCGCAGUGAGCCUUGGGCUCAUUCACAGUCUGUGCGGUGGCUGUGCCCUGGAGCACGGUUAGGAUAUAGU